UUAGGUAAUGCCAUCUUGAAACGAAAAUAGUGUCGCAUGAGUAGUGUGAAACGGAAUAUUAUUGUCUUAAUAUAUACAGAGAUAGCAUUAUUUUGCUUUAUUCAGAUAAGAGCAGAAAACUUACAUUGUUUUCCGUGAGAGUUGUGUUCACUGGCUGGUUCAUUCCCUGCAGUCACAUUUUCUGAGCGAGGAGCGCUGUUGUUGGUGGCGCUAACAAAGGAAAAUCUGGAUCCGAGCAGUUGUUCAUUGCUCGAUUUAGGAGAGAUGGCCGAGAUGUACAUUCGUGUCGCGGAGGAGGAGAACGAGGAGCCGAUGGAGAUCCCUUCAGAGGACGACGGCACUGUGCUGCUGUCCACGGUGGCCGCUCAGUUUCCAGGAGCUUGUGGCCUGCGUUACCGGAGCCCUGUGUCCCAGUGCAUGAGAGGAGUUCGACUGGUGGAAGGAGUCCUGCACGCCCCCGAGAAUGGCUGGGGAAACCUGGUCUAUGUGGUCAAUUAUCCUAAAGAAACGGUUCUGCCGGAUAAUAAGAGGAAGAUGGAUGAGAUUGAUGCUUCAUCUGCAACAAAGAUCAAGAGAGGAGAUCAGAAGACUUCAGAUCUGAUUGUGCUGGGUCUGCCAUGGAAAACUACAGAACAAGACUUAAAAGACUAUUUCAGUACAUUUGGGGACGUCAUCAUGGUUCAGGUCAAGCGGGAUGUGAAGACGGGAAAUUCGAAAGGAUUUGGGUUCGUGAGGUUUGCAGAGUGGGAGACUCAGGGUAAGGUGAUGUCACAGCGGCACAUGAUUGACGGCAGGUGGUGUGACUGCAAACUUCCCAACUCGAAGCAAGGUCCAGAUGAGCCAAUGAGGAGCAGGAAAGUGUUCGUGGGCCGUUGCACAGAGGACAUAACCGCUGAUGAGCUCCGUCAGUUCUUCAUGCAGUAUGGGGAGGUCACAGAUGUUUUCAUUCCUAAACCCUUCAGAGCAUUCGCUUUCGUCACCUUUGCAGAUGACCAGGUUGCCGCCUCUCUUUGCGGAGAAGAUCUGAUCAUCAAGGGCGUCAGCGUGCAUAUCUCCAAUGCUGAGCCAAAACACAACAACCCUAGGCAGAUGAUGGAGCGGGCUGGGCGCUUUGGGAAUGGGUUUGGAGGUCAGGGUUUCGGAGGCAGCCGAAGCAGCAUGGGGGGUAGCUCCAACAGCAUGGGAAAUUUAAGCAAUUUCAACCUCAAUCCAGCCAUGAUGGCUGCCGCCCAGGCCGCUCUGCAGAGCAGCUGGGGUAUGAUGGGAAUGUUAGCACAGCAGGGUCAGCCAGCAACAGCUGGCACGAGCACAAGCGGCGCGAGUUCCACUCGGGACCAGCCCCAAACAUACAGCUCGGGCAACAGCAACUACGGCAGCAGCUCGGCCGCUCUCGGCUGGGGCUCCGGCUCUAACUCUAGUGGUAGUGGGUUUAACUCCAGCUUUGGCUCUAGUAUGGAUUCAAAGUCGUCAGGGUGGGGUAUGUAAACAGAUUUGAGUUUGAAGUGUCAGUAUUUCUAGCGUGUUUGGUAAGUAUUUUCCAAGAGACUUAUCUCGUCACGUUUUUGGGAGUGGGGAUGGGUAAAAAGGGAGUCUGGGGACAACAACAACAACAACAACAAAAAAUAGAAUGUUUUGUACACUAAAUGGGAUUUGAUUUGUUUUGGAGUGAGAAGUUAACCAGGGUGCUACGUUUAUAUGUACCAUCUUUGAUGUUAUGUUUAUCCCCCAUGUUUUACUGUCUUGGUCGAUGCAAACGUAGCAUUUCAACUGGAUUCUUAAAAUGCAUGUUUUUCAAUCUGUGUAUAUCUGAAAACAUGAGAAUUGCAUCAUUAAGUACAUUUAUCAUUACGUAGGACAAAAACAAACAAACUUGCAUUGGAAAGAAUCUGGUUGAAACCUGAACAUAUUAUAAGUUCAGCUUUAUUUCAAUCCAGUUUUAUGGAAACCCUUUAAAACAAGCCUUCAUCAAAAUCUCUUCUGCAGUUGACAUCUGUGGGGUUUGCCUGGGAAGAGCGCCCUCUAUGGCAGCACAGUGUGGCUGAGGUCAUUAUGCCAUCUUCCUCCCCAUGUCUGUAUGCUCUCAUCGCACGGCUCGAUGACACGGGGCCUGGAAUAUGGCUGGCCACAACUGAACCCCAGGCGGGAAGUCCGUUUGGGCAUGGAGGAAGAUGGAGGAUGCUGUGGUUCUGCAUCUCUGGUAACGGCCAUGGACACGGUAGACUCUAGCUGAAUUUGAUUGAUGUAUCAGAAAGAGCACUUUUCUCAGAACCAUUUAAGCCUAAUACAUGUUGAUCUGUAUUUUCUGCCGAAAACCUCCUGAGCUGAGAUGAUAUUAGGCUCGAUCUGGGUUUGAGAAAAAGCAGUGCACUGUAUUAAAAUGCAGGCCAGGUCCAUAUUUCUAGUUUCUAAAAUGUGAUUUAAAAUAUUUUAUACAGUCUUUAUUGUUUCAUGGAGCUUCAUAUUACCAUGAAGAGAUGCUCACAGGAUUCAUUACAAUAAAAAAAAAUGAGCUCAUGUUUGAGUAAAAAAAAAAUAAGAUUGGUGUUUCAUAUUGAAUGAUUUAUGUAUAUUUGCAUAGCUUUUUUAUUACUACAUAAAAUAAAAAAACUACAAAAAACUUUGUACAUCUCAGAAUGUGAACAAUGAGGAUUUGUUCAUUUUAUUUUGUGUAGUCUUCAAGCACAUACUCCUCGGCUUCCUCUUGGCAGCAUUCCUCUUCCUUCAGUUCUUGGUUGAUCAAAGCCAGUUUAUGGCUUUUCAGAAUGUACUGUGAAGGUAUAGCAAAGGUACAAAGUUGUUUUUCACUCAUUUGAUGGAACCGUAAAAUCUAAAUGCGCUUAAAUUACAACAUUUCCAUGUAACUUACAAAUAUUGUAUUACAUGUGAUGUAAUUACAUGAGAAUGUAAAAAUCCUAUUAACAAAUUGUUAAAAUAAAAUUUAACAAUUUUUCAUUAAUAGUUACAUUGAUUUCACCACUUAUGCACUUAUUUUAUAUAUAAAACUUAAAUAUUGACAUUUCAUGGUUAAUCGAUGUAUUAUUAUUUUUACAUAUCAGAAUGAAUUCAUAAGGUUUUUAUGAAAAAGUUUUAUUUUCUUUAUGACAAGACUUGUGAACAAAAUUACCUUGAGGUAAUAGUGUUAAAAUACCAACAAAAAAAAUCCUCUGUAACUCCGGUCUUUCGGCAUGCAUGCAGAGAGACCACUUUUGAGGGUGAAGUUUACCUCGUUAACGCUUCCAAGUAAAAUAUAUCUAGAGGGAAGACCCAGGAGGAGCGUGAAUAAAUAUCGUUUAAUCUCGUCAAAUAUGAAUGACAGAAUCGAGCCUUCUCGCACUGUCUGAACAGUCUGUGCUGCUUUUGUCUGUUUAGUGAUUUGUUUUUCGCAGUCUGCGGCGAUAUGUUGACAGAGACAGUGCACAGCUGCUUUAAGCCUCUGAAAGCACAGAAAGCUGGCAAUGUGACAGAGAGAAACCCCCGAACAGUUUUUUAUAAUGACAAAAUGUAGCGAAGUAUAACAUAGACAUGACGCUUCAGCUUGUCAUUGAGUUUUAGUUUGUUUAACCCAUUUUUGUGAUCCGUCCUCAUCCGUUCUCAGUAGAUAAGCACGCUAAAGCUCAACUAUGUGCUUUUAGGAAUUACGCAUAAACUGUAAAAUGCAAUAAUUUACCAUAACGCGAAUUGUUUUUUUCCACGUUGUAGUGCCGACAUCAGUGUUCAUUCUCGCCCUAGCAGCGCCUCCUGCUGAUGCGGAGCGAAUGUCGGUCAAGAAAGAAUAUAGAAAGACAAUUUUCUUUUAUGGAUAGUUCUUUAAUAUAUGAUAAUGUCCCAUGGUAAAGUUACAAUUUAUUAUUUCUGUUUGUUGCUUCCCUAAAUAUAAAGCAUCCCAUACUGCUGAAACCAUUAAUGUGUUGGGGUUGGUUGACACAAUUGCGCAACAUUUAGUAAUAAAUUAACAAAAUGUAGGAAAACUGUGCCAACUAGUCUCAUUCUCCCUUACUUAAAUAUUUGUUUAGAUCAAUAAGAAAAAAAAGUCUCAUGCAUUACAAGACAAAAAUAAAUCAAUAAUUAAUUGCAGUACAGGCUAGGACGUAUAACCGAUUCAUCAAAUAAGAAAUACUUUUGGAGACACUCUUGAAUGUAGGCCUGCUGUAUUUUCUCGGUUGUUUAAUAUGCUUCCCCUCUUUUUGUAAUGCUAUGCUCACUUGUUUGAGAAUUGAAUAAUGCUGAAACCAUCUGUAUCUUAUUUUUCUUCAAUAAACUUGAAAGGAUUUCAGUUUAA
RNA transcript from Carassius gibelio (silver crucian carp), 4279 nucleotides. It is a transcript of the gene named TAR DNA-binding protein 43, with no coding region annotated. NCBI's taxonomy places the organism in Eukaryota, Metazoa, Chordata, Actinopteri, Cypriniformes, Cyprinidae. The record is from RefSeq and is a predicted model, not a curated record. The transcript is spliced from 7 exons.